GAUGAACGCUGGCGGCGUGCUUAAUACAUGCAAGUCGAACGAACAAACUAGGAUCUUGCUCCUCUGACGUUAGCGGCAGGGGUGUGAGAAACACGUGGAUCACCUACCUAUAUGACUGAUAUAACUUCGGAACACGUGCUCUAAUACCGGAUAAUAUAUUGAACGGCAUGGUUCAGUAGUGAAGGACUGUUUUGCUGUCAGAUGUAGUCGGAUCCUCGCCGCUUUAGCUAGUUGGUAAGGUCACGGCUUACCAAGGCAACGAUGCGUAGCCGACCUGAGAGCGUGAUCGGGCACACUGGCACUGAGACACGGUGCUACCUCCUACGGGAGGAAGCAGGAGAGAAGCGUCGGCAAUGGCCGAAAGCGUGACAGAGUAACGCCGCGUGAGUGAUGAAGGGCUUGGGAUCGUAGAACUCUGUUAUUAGGGAAGAAAAAAUGUGUAAGUAACUAUGCACGUCGUGACGGUACUUAAUCAGAAAGCGCCGGCUAACUACGUG
RNAcentral lists this ribosomal RNA (497 nucleotides) under uncultured bacterium. Its description in RNAcentral is "partial 16S ribosomal RNA". It matches the Rfam family "Bacterial small subunit ribosomal RNA", at positions 28 to 507 of the family's 1533-position model. The record is from RNAcentral.